Molecule: ribosomal RNA, 466 nt
Filed under: uncultured bacterium
Lineage: Bacteria
Description: bacterial SSU rRNA
Rfam family: Bacterial small subunit ribosomal RNA
Source: RNAcentral
AAUCAACGCUGGCGGCGUGCCUCAGACAUGCAAGUCGAACGAUUAAAGCUCUCUUCGGAGAGUGUAUAGAGUGGCGCACGGGUGAGUAACACGUAAGUAAUCUACCCUCGAGUGGGGAAUAACAACCGGAAACGGUUGCUAAUACCGCAUAAUGCAGCGGCACCGCAAGGUGACAGUUGUUAAAGAUUUAUCGCUUGAGGAGGAGCUUGCGGCAGAUUAGCUAGUUGGUAGGGUAACGGCUUACCAAGGCUACGAUCUGUAACCGGUCUAAGAGGACGGUCGGUCACACUGACACUGAAUAACGGGUCAGACUCCUACGGGAGGCAGCAGUCGGGAAUUUUGGGCAAUGGGCGAAAGCCUGACCCAGCAACGCCGCGUGAAGGAUGAAGUAUUUCGGUAUGUAAACUUCGAAAGAAUAGGAAGAAUUAAUGACGGUACUAUUUAUAAGGUACCGGCUAACUACGUG